Molecule: ribosomal RNA, 301 nt
Filed under: uncultured bacterium
Lineage: Bacteria
Description: partial 16S ribosomal RNA
Rfam family: Bacterial small subunit ribosomal RNA
Source: RNAcentral
CAGUCGCCACGGUAAUACGUAGGGUGCAAGCGUUAAUCGGAAUUACUGGGCGUAAAGCGUGCGCAGGCGGUUUGUUAAGACAGAUGUGAAAUCCCCGGGCUCAACCUGGGAACUGCAUUUGUGACUGGCAAGCUAGAGUCUGGCAGAGGGGGGUGGAAUUCCGCGUGUAGCAGUGAAAUGCGUAGAUAUGCGGAGGAACACCGAUGGCGAAGGCAGCCCCCUGGGCCAACACUGACGCUCGUGCACGAAAGCGUGGGGAGCAAACAGGAUUAGAGACCCCUGUAGUCCCUGUCUCUUAUAC